Molecule: long non-coding RNA, 463 nt
Organism: Heterocephalus glaber (naked mole-rat)
Lineage: Eukaryota; Metazoa; Chordata; Mammalia; Rodentia; Bathyergidae
Source: Ensembl
AGCUAACAGAACAUUCCGGAGAGGUCAGGAAGUUCAGUCAGGGCGCGGCCCAGCAGCACCAACUGUUACAUUUCUGGAACAAAACAUUUUCUGGAAAGAAACCUGGAGGCAAGGAGAGAGAGGGCAGAAUUUGGAAACGCCAAGGAGAUGUGAGCUGGACGCUGAGAAAGAAAGGCCGAGACCUGCAGCUCCGGUAGGCAGAUUCCAGCCGCAGCUCCUGCGCACGCACCCCUGAAAAAGCCACGGGCGGAGCCGCCUCUGCGCCCUGGGCAGGUCUGAGUCGCAUCGCCCGCCCCGAGAGGGCGCGGGAGGUCCCGCCGAGGGCCUCCACCUGCCGGGAAAUCCGAGCGGUUCCUCCAGCCUCAGCGGCAGCUGAGCUCGCUCCUCCCCUCCAGCCAGCCUGGCUUAGUUCUGCGCGCCCCCCAACUCGCUCCCGCCCGCCCCAGUCACCUCGCUCCGCGCC